GCAUAUCAAUAAGCGGAGGAAAAGAAACCAACAGGGAUUGCCUCAGUAGCGGCGAGUGAAGCGGCAAAAGCUCCAUUUUGAAAGCUCUUCGGAGCGUUGUAGAUUGGUGGGAAGCUAACGGCUGGUGGGAGACCAAGUCCCUUGGAACAGGGCGCCACUGAGGGUGAGAGCCCCGUGGGACCGUUUGCCUACGCUCUGAGGCCCUUCUGACGAGUCGAGUUGUUUGGGAAUGCAGCUCUAAGCGGGUGGUAAAUUCCAUCUAAGGCUAAAUACUGGCGAGAGACCGAUAGCGAACAAGUACUGUGAAGGAAAGAUGAAAAGCACUUUGAAAAGAGAGUGAAACAGCACGUGAAAUUGUUGAAAGGGAAGGGUAUUGCGCCCGACAUGGAGCGUGCGCACCGCUGCCCCUCGUGGGCGGCGCUCUGGGCGUGCUCUGGGCCAGCAUCGGUUUUUGCCGCGGGAGAAGGGCGGCGGGCAUGUAGCUCUUCGGAGUGUUAUAGCCUGCCGCCGGCGCCGCGAGCGGGGACCGAGGACUGCGACUUUUGUCUCGGAUGCUGGCACAACGGCGCAACACCGCCCGUCUUGAAACACGGACC
RNAcentral lists this ribosomal RNA (596 nucleotides) under uncultured fungus. RNAcentral describes it as "LSU rRNA". It matches the Rfam family "Eukaryotic large subunit ribosomal RNA", at positions 38 to 667 of the family's 3401-position model. Lineage: Eukaryota; Fungi. The record is from RNAcentral.